UGCAAGUCGAGCGGACCGACGGGAGCUUGCUCCCUUAGGUCAGCGGCGGACGGGUGAGUAACACGUGGGUAACCUGCCUGUAAGACUGGGAUAACUCCGGGAAACCGGGGCUAAUACCGGAUGCUUGAUUGAACCGCAUGGUUCAAUCAUAAAAGGUGGCUUUUAGCUACCACUUGCAGAUGGACCCGCGGCGCAUUAGCUAGUUGGUGAGGUAACGGCUCACCAAGGCGACGAUGCGUAGCCGACCUGAGAGGGUGAUCGGCCACACUGGGACUGAGACACGGCCCAGACUCCUACGGGAGGCAGCAGUAGGGAAUCUUCCGCAAUGGACGAAAGUCUGACGGAGCAACGCCGCGUGAGUGAUGAAGGUUUUCGGAUCGUAAAACUCUGUUGUUAGGGAAGAACAAGUACCGUUCGAAUAGGGCGGGACCUUGACGGUACCUAACCAGAAAGCCACGGCUAACUACGUGCCAGCAGCCGCGGUAAUACGUAGGUGGCAAGCGUUGUCCGGAAUUAUUGGGCGUAAAGCGCGCGCAGGCGGUUUCUUAAGUCUGAUGUGAAAGCCCCCGGCUCAACCGGGGAGGGUCAUUGGAAACUGGGGAACUUGAGUGCAGAAGAGGAGAGUGGAAUUCCACGUGUAGCGGUGAAAUGCGUAGAGAUGUGGAGGAACACCAGUGGCGAAGGCGACUCUCUGGUCUGUAACUGACGCUGAGGCGCGAAAGCGUGGGGAGCGAACAGGAUUAGAUACCCUGGUAGUCCACGCCGUAAACGAUGAGUGCUAAGUGUUAGAGGGUUUCCGCCCUUUAGUGCUGCAGCAAACGCAUUAAGCACUCCGCCUGGGGAGUACGGUCGCAAGACUGAAACUCAAAGGAAUUGACGGGGGCCCGCACAAGCGGUGGAGCAUGUGGUUUAAUUCGAAGCA
Molecule: ribosomal RNA, 922 nt
Filed under: Bacillus sp. (in: firmicutes)
Lineage: Bacteria; Bacillati; Bacillota; Bacilli; Caryophanales; Bacillaceae
Description: bacterial SSU rRNA
Rfam family: Bacterial small subunit ribosomal RNA
Source: RNAcentral